GGCAGGAUGGAGGUGUAGUGACAGAGCUGUGUGUGGGGUCAGUACAGGAAUAGCAGAGAGAGCUGCAGGGCAGGAUGGAGGUGUAGUGACAGAGCUGUGUGUGGGGUCAGUACAGGAAUAGCAGAGAGAGCUGCAGGGCAGGAUGGAGGUGUAGUGACAGAGCUGUGUGUGGGGUCAGUACAGGAAUAGCAGAGAGAGCUGCAGGGCAGGAUGGAGGUGCAGUGACAGAGCUGUGUGUGGGGUCAGAACAGGAAUAGCAGAGAGAGCUGCAGGGCAGGAUGGAGGGGUAGUGACAGAGCUGUGUGUGGGGUCAGUACAGGAAUAGCAGAGAGAGCUGCAGGGCAGGAUGGAGGUGUAGUGACAGAGCUGUGUGUGGGGUCAGUACAGGAAUAGCAGAGAGAGCUGCAGGGCAGGAUGGAGGUGCAGUGACAGAGCUGUGUGUGGGGUCAGUACAGGAAUAGCAGAGAGAGCUGCAGGGCAGGAUGGAGGUGCAGUGACAGCUGUGUGUGGGGUCAGUACAGGAAUAGCAGAGAGAGCUGCAGGGCAGGAUGGAGGUGCAGUGACAGAGCUGUGUGUGGGGUCAGUACAGGAAUAGCAGAGAGAGCUGCAGGGCAGGAUGGAGGUGCAGUGACAGAGCUGUGUGUGGGGUCAGUACAGGAAUAGCAGAGAGAGCUGCAGGGCAGGAUGGAGGUGUAGUGACAGAGCUGUGUGUGGGGUCAGUACAGGAAUAGCAGAGAGAGCUGCAGGGCAGGAUGGAGGUGCAGUGACAGAGCUGUGUGUGGGGUCAGUACAGGAAUAGCAGAGAGAGCUGCAGGGCAGGAUGGAGGUGCAGUGACAGAGCUGUGUGUGGGGUCAGUACAGGAAUAGCAGAGAGAGCUGCAGGGCAGGAUGGAGGUGUAGUGACAGAGCUG
Molecule: long non-coding RNA, 911 nt
Filed under: Pelobates cultripes (western spadefoot toad)
Lineage: Eukaryota; Metazoa; Chordata; Amphibia; Anura; Pelobatidae
Source: RNAcentral